This 3549-nucleotide unclassified non-coding RNA is filed under the name Apis dorsata (giant honeybee). RNAcentral's name for it is "kinesin-related protein 4-like, transcript variant X2". The record is from RNAcentral. Lineage: Eukaryota; Metazoa; Arthropoda; Insecta; Hymenoptera; Apidae.
UAAAAGAUCCAUAAAUCAGAUUAGUCUGCUUGAAUGUUCUAUCUAGUAAGAGAACCACGGUCGAAGUGAUGUGAUGAUUGUUAUGUUUCUUUAAAGAAUAUGGCAAGAUGGCGACAUAUUUGAAGCGAACGUCAAAAUUGUUUGAUACUUCUUUGACACGAUCAUCAGUAGAUAUUAGUCUUAGAGAUUUAAUAUGUCCAGUAUGCCGAAGUAUUCUAAUUGAACCAGUAACAUUGCCGUGCACACACAAUCUUUGUUUAAAAUGUUUAAAAGGUACAUUCGAACACAAUAGCUUGAGUUGUCCUCUGUGUAGAAUACGAGUCGGUUCUUGGCUACGUACAGCAACGAAGACUGAAACAUUAGUUAAUAACAAUCUUUGGGAAUUAAUUCAAACUAAAUUUUCUAAAGAAGUUGAAAAUAAAUAUAACGGUGACGAUAGAAGUGUCGAUUUGGAUGCUGACUAUACUGGUACUAAUAAAAUACUUAGUGCAGCUGGAGAAAUUCGACAGGAAUAUGAAGUGCAACUUCAAAUGGCCGAGGAAGAAAUACGAUGUCAAAGAAAAGCUGAACAGAUAGCCAGUGAAACUUUAAUUCGCAAAAUUCAGGAGGAAGAGCAACAACAAAAACUAGCUCAAUUAACUCAAGAUCAAUUACUUGCUAAAUCUUUAGUAAAGAAACAACUCGAAGACAAGCACAAAGAAGUAUCUAAAUAUAAAAAUUCUUUAAAUGUAUCUAAUACUUUUCAUAAUUCAAAAUUUAAUGUUGCUACUAUGACUGAAGUUAAUUCAUGUAAACUGCAGCCUCAUGGUUCAAAGUAUGAAAAAGCAUCUCUUUUAGAGUCUCAAGAUAAUUCUGGAUUAAGAAGAUCAAAUAUUGCAUUAAUUUCUAAAAUUCGUGCAGAAAGAUAUGUAUCUAAUAUAAAAAAUAAUAUAGAUUUGUCUAAUACAUGUAAUGAUUCUACAAGUAAAUUUUGUUGUCAAAAAACUAUACCUGUAUAUAAUACUAUUUCAAGAACUUUAAAACAUCAAACAGCCAAAAUAAUAGAACCUUGUAUUUCAAAAUGUUCCAUGGAACCAAGAACAUCUAUUUCAAAAAUAUAUGGUACUCAAAGUAAAGAAGAGUUGCAUGUACCAAAUGAUAUUGUGAACAAUAAAAAAAAAAGCUUAAGUGUAGAAGUUUGUGUAUCUUCGGGAGAUGAUGACGAAAGAAUGGGAAGUGCCGAUAGUCACGAUAGUCAUGAUAGCAUUAAUCAAGAAAUUCAUCAUUUUAAACCUAUUAAAGCUAUGCCAAGAACACCAUUAAAAAUGUCUACAGAUGGAAGACAAAUAGAUCCAAAACUAAUUAGAGUUGUUCCUAUACUUAAAAGAAUAUCUAAUGUUAUACCUAAACCUCCAUCUCAAAUUCAUUUAAAACGAAUUAUUGGAUGUUCUUGGAGUGCAUUUCGAGGUAAAACUAAACAGAGCUUUAAAGAGAAAGAUGUAUAUAAGGAAGACAUUGAACAAAUGCCAUCAACAUCUUGUAAUCAAUCGCAAAUUAUCGUUAACAAAACAACAAAAUUUCAAACUCAUGAUAAUAUUCGUAAACUCGAAUAUAUUUCGGAUUUGUCAUUUGAUUCUAAUAAGAAUUAUGCUAAGAAUGUAAAUAUAAUUAAUGGUACUAAGAUCAGUAAAAAGUUAAUGUUAGAAGAAAAUAGAGACGUUAGAAAAGUACAAAAAUCUUGGAAAUCUCAUAUUAGAAAUGGCAUGGUAUGUAAAUCUAAACGACAAAAAACUUUAUGGACUAAAAAAGAUAUUAAGAUUGCAACAAAUACAAAAUAUAUGAAUGAUAUCGAAAUGAAAAAUAUAAGUUCUCCAUCUACAUUUUGCAAUGAAAAAUCUGAGAUACAGGAAGAAGAUGAAAUAACAAUGGAAAAUAUUGCAGAACGAAUAAAGAAAAGAAAAAUAAAUACAGAUAAAAAGAAAACUAAUACAGUAUCUUCUUCAUAUUCAGAUUUAAAAAUUACUAGAAGAGAUACAAAGGAAUUAUGUAGAAAAGAAGAAUUUGAAUACAAGAUAUCAAAUGAUGUUCCUGUUACAAUACAAAAAAGGAAUAGAACUAAGUUUACAAAAACUGCCUUACCGAAAUCAAAACAGCGAAGGAUACGUUCAACAAAACAGUCUAUUACAGAAAAUUCUGGAAAAAGUGACACUUCUAUAAGAUUAAGCUGUCGGAUUAGCAAUUCAGAAUUAAGAAAAACAACACGAAAGAUAAAGCAAACUAAUAUUUCUAUGAGUAAUGGAACAGAUAUAAUGUAUGAGAAUAUGGAUAGUAAUAAUUGUAAUUCAUCUGAAUCUUGCAUUGAAAUGCAAGAACGUAUAUCAAAAAAUAAUAAUAGUACUGAAACUAAUACAAUCAUAGAGAAAAAUGUUCUUUCGGAUGAAGAGAUCAUUAAAGAACAAGAACGAAUGGAAAGAUUAGUUAUACAAGAAAAAGAAGAUUUUGAAUUAGCUCAAAGAUUGCAAGCGAAAUUUGAUGAGAUGGAAGGAAUAGCUGGUCGAACCAGGCGAUCUAAAAAAGCAAUUGAGAAUGAAACGAUUGAGUUAGAUUUGUAUAAAAUCGAUACUAGAAGAAAUGUACAAAAAGCAAUGAAUUCUCAUACUGCCAAGUCAUCAAUUAUCAAUCAUACUAUAAAUACCGAGACUAAAAAACGUGGUAGACCUCCAAAACGUGUAAAAUAAUCUAUCAGCAUUGGUCGUUACGUCGGCAAACCGCGAACCUUCCAAAUGGAUGUUCCUAUAAAUUAUAAAAAAAAGAUAUGAACGAAUUAAUAACAUUGACGGAAAUUAUUUUUGAUGAAUAACAUAUGGAAAUAAAAAUGGAUAUAAGAAAUAGAUGAAAAAUAUAUAAAGACAAUUGAAAAACAAUUUUGUAAAGACAUAUGUUAUUAAAUGCUUCAACGCUAGUUAUAUGGCGUCAUAAUUUGUUGUUAUACAACAAUAGGGUAAUGCGCCAAAUUUACACCUCAUUAAAUUUAUUUCAUAUUCCGUCAAUAGUGAUAGUCUUUCACUUUUAUAUAUAUGAUUAAAUAUCGUAUAUACUCUAGUAAAAUACGAUUUUGAAAAAAAUUGAAUUGAGAUUGUUCUGAAUACAAUUUAUCGGGCAAUCAUACUAAAAAUACGCAUUGAUAGAAUUUCAAAAUAAGAGAUGUAUGGGAUAAAUUAAAUAAAAUAUAAGAUUUAUGAAUGUAGAAAGAAAAUAUUUACAUAUAUACAGGUUACAUACAAAUAAUAUUGUCAAAUAAUAUGUAUCAAUAAAUAAGAUAUAGUAUGUAUAGCCUCGAUCCAAAAAUAAACGGAUAGAAUAAUUAAACAGAAAAAUUAACAAAAGAAUGAAUAGCAGAAUAAUAUAAUGGCGGUAAGCGAAUGAAUUUUUAAAAAGUCAUUUUUAUAUGCAUCGCAUGCGGAUACAAAUAAUGUAUCGAAAGUAAUGGAAAGGAAGCAAUUAUCGAGUACUAUUCUUUCUGAUACCUUUUAUGUAUCAAUACGAAUAAACAAAUGUAAUUAUUCUAAA